UACAGAGGGGGCAAGCGUUGUUCGGAAUUACUGGGCGUAAAGGGCGCGUAGGCGGCCUACUAAGUCGAACGUGAAAUCCCCGGGCUUAACCCGGGAACUGCGUCCGAUACUGGUUGGGCUUGAAUCCGGGAGAGGGAUGUGGAAUUCCAGGUGUAGCGGUGAAAUGCGUAGAUAUCGGAAGGAACGCCGGUGGCGAAAGCGGCCCGCUGGACCUCUUCUGACGCUGAGGCGCGAAAGCCAGGGGAGCGAACGGG
RNAcentral lists this ribosomal RNA (254 nucleotides) under uncultured bacterium. Its description in RNAcentral is "partial 16S ribosomal RNA". It matches the Rfam family "Bacterial small subunit ribosomal RNA", at positions 524 to 776 of the family's 1533-position model. The record is from RNAcentral.